UUGACAGAAAACUACAAUUGAAACUUUAAAUUCAUCAGGAAACCAUUUUAUCAGAAUUAUCCAGAUGAAUUAUCAUUAAUAGUAAAACCAACAUAAUUGAUCAUCACCAGAUGUCAGGCAUGAUGCCAGGUGCUCUACACGUUAUUUCUCUUCCUUACAAUAGUUCUUCAAAGUAGGUAUUAUUUUUUUGUCUCCAGUUUGCAAUUGAGAAAGGUUAACUUUUCUAAGGUCGUAUAGCUAAUAAAGCUGAGAUUUUAAACCUGGGUCUUUUUUCUACAGUACAUUGCCUCUACAAAAGGCAUCUUGUUUUAAUGCUGCCAAAAUCAAUUUGUUUAGAUUGUCUUCGCAGUUUUACCGACUUAGAAGAACUUGAUGAGACAGAGUUAUAUAUGUGCCAUAAAUGCAAAAAGAAACAAAAGUCCACAAAAAAGUUUUGGAUUCAAAAACUACCCAAGGUGCUAUGCUUACAUUUGAAAAGAUUUCAUUGGACAGCAUAUUUAAGAAAUAAAGUUGAUACAUACGUAGAAUUUCCACUGAGAGGCCUAGACAUGAAAUGCUACUUACUAGAGCCUGAGAACAGUGGCCCGGAGAGCUGCCUGUAUGACCUCGCCGCUGUGGUGGUGCACCAUGGUUCCGGGGUUGGUUCUGGACAUUACACAGCAUACGCAACUCACGAAGGCCGCUGGUUCCACUUCAAUGACAGUACUGUAACACUGACUGACGAGGAGACUGUGGUGAAGGCGAAGGCCUACAUCCUUUUCUACGUGGAACACCAGGCCAAAGCUGGAUCGGAUAAACUUUAAUACCUCCUCCAAAUCAUCAUUCACCAACCAUACCAGAGAAACAUUUCCAGUUUUCCACAAAUACUUGAUACAAGAUUUAAUUUCAUUAUGCACUUUUCAAUUUCCUAUUUUGGGUUUAGUUUUGUCAAUGGUAGUGACUUACUGAACAUGGGCACCAACUAAUUUUGUUGUUGUUCU
This 980-nucleotide small RNA is filed under the name Pan troglodytes (chimpanzee). RNAcentral describes it as "retained intron". Lineage: Eukaryota; Metazoa; Chordata; Mammalia; Primates; Hominidae. The record is from RNAcentral.